ACGGGAGGCAGCAGUGAGGAAUAUUGGUCAAUGGGCGGAAGCCUGAACCAGCCAAGUCGCGUGAAGGAAGACGGUAUUAUGUAUUGUAAACUUCUUUAGACGCAGAGAAAUAAGGGGCUCGCGAGCUCUGAUGCUAGUAUGCGUAGAAUAAGGAUCGGCUAACUCCGUGCCAGCAGCCGCGGUAAUACGGAGGCUCCGAGCGUUAUCCGGAUUUAUUGGGUUUACAGGGUGCGCAGGCGGCGCUUUAAGUCAGUGGUCAAAUCGGGAGGCUCAACCUCAUCCCGCCAUUUAUACUGGAGCGCUUGAUUGCGGUUGAGGUAGGCGGAAUUCGUCGUGUAGCGGUGAAAUGCAUAGAUAUGACGAAGAACCCCGAUUGCGUAGGCAGCUUACCAAGCCGUAAAUGACGCUCAUGCACGAAAGUGCGGGGAUCGAACAGGAUUAGAUACCCUGGUA
RNAcentral lists this ribosomal RNA (453 nucleotides) under uncultured Porphyromonadaceae bacterium. RNAcentral describes it as "partial 16S ribosomal RNA". It matches the Rfam family "Bacterial small subunit ribosomal RNA", at positions 341 to 792 of the family's 1533-position model. Lineage: Bacteria; Pseudomonadati; Bacteroidota; Bacteroidia; Bacteroidales; Porphyromonadaceae. The record is from RNAcentral.